This 320-nucleotide ribosomal RNA is filed under the name uncultured eukaryote. RNAcentral describes it as "partial 18S ribosomal RNA". It matches the Rfam family "Eukaryotic small subunit ribosomal RNA", at positions 1470 to 1796 of the family's 1831-position model. The record is from RNAcentral.
CCCCUAGAUGUUCUGGGCCGCACGCGCGCUACACUGAACAGUUCAACAAGUCUUAACCUUGGCCGAUAGGUCUGGGUAAUCUUUGAACGCUGUUCGUGAUUGGGAUAGACCUUUGCAAUUAUGGGUCUUCAACGAGGAAUUCCUAGUAAACGCAAGUCAUCAGCUUGCAUUGAUUACGUCCCUGCCCUUUGUACACACCGCCCGUCGCACCUACCGAUUGAAUGGUCCGGUGAAAUCUCGGGACGGCGGCUUGGUCGCUUGCGUCCGACUGCUGAAACUUGAUUAAACCAUAUCAUCUAGAGGAAGGUGAANUCGUAACA